UGGCUCAGUUGGUAGAGCAUGGUGUUUGCAAUGCCAGCAUGGUGUGUGGGUUCGAUUCCCAC
Molecule: non-coding RNA, 62 nt
Organism: Salmo salar (Atlantic salmon)
Lineage: Eukaryota; Metazoa; Chordata; Actinopteri; Salmoniformes; Salmonidae
Source: Rfam